AAGCUUGUAGAAAAUACAAAGGUAGGCUAUAGAAAAUAGACAUAAAGAUUACAAAUAACGAUUAAAUAAAAAUGUAUUAAAAUAAAAGAGAACAGCUCCAAAUGAAAGGUGGAUGAGUUAAUAAUAUGAUUUUGAGUCAAUAAUAUGCUCAAAUUUGAAAGGGAUACAGAUGAGUGCUUUGUAGAAGUAACACUUGUGAAAAUGCGGCAAGCAUAUUUAAAAACUAGAUCGCUCUUCUCAACAGCUAAUGGCAGUCUACUGUAGUGUCCUGCUGUCCUGCACUAGAGGUCAGUGAGCACUAGAUUGAGUAGCAGCGCUGGUGCUCACAGCUCUCGCCGGGUGCAGUGGCGCGCGCCUGUAAUCCAAGCUGCUGGGAGGCUGAGGCUGGCGGAUCACUUGAGUUCAGGGGUUCUGGGCUGCAGUGGACUAUGUUGAUCGGGUGUCCGCGCUAAGUUCGGUAUCGAUAUGGUGCUCCUGGGGGAGCUCGGGACCGCCAGGUCGUCUAAGGAGGGGUGAACCGGCCCAGGUCGGAGACGGAGCAGGUCAAAGCCCCCGUGCCGAUCAGUAGCGGGAUCGCGCCUGUGAAUAGACACUGCAGUGUCUAUUCACAGGCGCGAUCCCGCUACUGAUCGGCACGGGGGCUUUGACCUGCUCCGUCUCCGACCUGGGCCGGUUCACCCCUCCUUAGACGACCUGGUGGUCCCGAGCUCCCCCAGGAGCACCAUAUCGAUACCGAACUUAGCGCGGACACCCGAUCGACAUAGUCCACUGCAGCCCAGAACCCCUGAACUCAAGCGAUCCGCCAGCCUCAGCCUCCCAGCAGCUUGGAUUACAGGCGCGCGCCACUGCACCCGGCGAGAGCUGUGAGCAUCAGCGCUGCUCCUCAAUCUAGUGCUCACUGCGCCCUCUAGUGCAGCACAGCAGGACACUACAGUAGACUGCCAUUAGCUGUUUUCAAAUAUGAGCAUAUUAUUAACUUAAAAUCAUAUUAUUAACUCAUCCACCUUUCAUUUGGAGCAGUUCUCAUUUAUUUUAAUACAUUUUUAUUUAAUCGUUAUUUUUAAUCUUUCUAUCUAUUUUCUAUAGCCUACCUUUGUAUUUUCUACAAGCUUGAUUAUUAAAUUGUUUGUAUUAUGUGUGUUUGUGUAGUAUCUAAAUUACAUGUGUAAAACAGGAUAGCCGAACAUAAUAAUUUACUGUAUACAAUAAUAGACUUAUCUCACAAUUCAUCAAUGAAAGCCAGUUAUGUUAUUUACCAAGGGCUGAAAAGAAAGUGUUUAUGUGUGAAAUAUCUCGAAGGCCACUUAUGAGAUGAAACCCCCAAAAUUAAUUUGUGAGAGUAAUUGAGAUUAUCUCGAGUUAAUUCUGCAUCUAGCACAUCAUGGGUCAAUACAAGAAAACACUGAAUCACUUAACUUAGGCUCAAAAGGGCUGUAUUUUGUGUUCUUUUUGUUGUUGCUGUUUCUUUAUUAUGGUAAGACAGGUCCUCAGAGAAUAAGGCAAAUACACAACGUCUGAGUCCUGCUAUGCUGCUCAGGCUGAACUUCAGCGUGUGUGUGUGUGUGUGGUUUGGAGUGGAUUUUUGUUUGUUAAUCAUUUAAAAAUUGCUAAAGGCAUUGUAUAUAUCUCCAGUCACUCCUCAGGUCCAGCAGAACUGCCUUGUUUUACAUGUCAUUUAAUCUAGUUCAACACACACACACACAUCAAAUACACCUUUGCAUAAAGACAACAAAAUAUGCAAAAUACUUAUUUUCAAACACUUAACGUAGUAUUUGAAAUUAACCUAUUUUAAGUCCAUUAUGCAACAUAAAAAAGUCUCUUUCCAUAUCCUCACGUUGUUAUUAUUUAUUAACUAACAAGAUAUAUA
Long non-coding RNA from Cyprinus carpio (common carp), 1867 nucleotides. Lineage: Eukaryota; Metazoa; Chordata; Actinopteri; Cypriniformes; Cyprinidae. The record is from Ensembl.